Molecule: ribosomal RNA, 419 nt
Filed under: uncultured bacterium
Lineage: Bacteria
Description: bacterial SSU rRNA
Rfam family: Bacterial small subunit ribosomal RNA
Source: RNAcentral
AGCGAACGUUAGCGGCGCGCCUAACACAUGCAAGUCGCACGAAGAAAGGGAGCAAUCCCCGGUACAGUGGCGCACGGGUGAGUAACACGUAGAUGACCUUCCCUGGAGUGGUGGAUAACCUGCCGAAAGGCGGGCUAAUACAGCAUGGGACCACAUGGUUUUGACCGAGUGGUGAAAGCGGGCCUCUGUUCACAAGCUCGCGCUCUGGGAUGGGUCUGCGUCCCAUCAGCUAGUUGGUGAGGUAAUGGCUCACCAAGGCAUCGACGGGUAGCUGGUCUGAGAGGAUGACCAGCCACACUGGAACUGAGACACGGUCCAGACUCCUACGGGAGGCAGCAGUGGGGAAUCUUGCGCAAUGGGCGAAAGCCUGACGCAGCGACGCCGCGUGGGUGAUGAAGGCCUCGGUUGUAAGACCUCGU